RNAcentral lists this ribosomal RNA (497 nucleotides) under uncultured bacterium. RNAcentral describes it as "partial 16S ribosomal RNA". It matches the Rfam family "Bacterial small subunit ribosomal RNA", at positions 28 to 507 of the family's 1533-position model. The record is from RNAcentral.
GAUGAACGCUGGCGGCGUGCCUAAUACAUGCAAGUCGAGCGAACAGACGAGGAGCUUGCUCCUCUGACGUUAGCGGCGGACGGGUGAGUAACACGUGGAUAACCUACCUAUAAGACUGGGAUAACUUCGGGAAACCGGAGCUAAUACCGGAUAACAUGUUGAACCGCAUGGUUCAACAGUGAAAGACGGUCUUGCUGUCACUUAUAGAUGGAUCCGCGCCGCAUUAGCUAGUUGGUAAGGUAACGGCUUACCAAGGCAACGAUGCGUAGCCGACCUGAGAGGGUGAUCGGCCACACUGGAACUGAGACACGGUCCAGACUCCUACGGGAGGCAGCAGUAGGGAAUCUUCCACAAUGGGCGAAAGCCUGACGGAGCAACGCCGCGUGAGUGAAGAAGGUCUUCGGAUCGUAAAACUCUGUUAUUAGGGAAGAACAAAUGUGUAAGUAACUAUGCACGUCUUGACGGUACCUAAUCAGAAGGCCACGGCUAACUACGUG